GAAAAUUCAGUGAUGAAGUAAUAUAAUAACAUAAAACAAUAAUUAAGUAAACCAUAUACUUAAUGAAACAUCAUAACUAAAUGAAGAAAUAAAAAUAAUAUUUACUGAAAGAGAGAAUAAAUAAAAUAAACUAAAAAGUAAAUAAUAAAAAAACGAUUUAAAAAGAAGAAGAAAAGAAACAGGUUGUUAGUGAAUAUGAUAUGGAGUUAUGUAGUUUAGAUGUAGCAUGAACCAUUUUAUAUUAUCAAUAAUCC
Molecule: long non-coding RNA, 254 nt
Filed under: Lathyrus oleraceus (garden pea)
Lineage: Eukaryota; Viridiplantae; Streptophyta; Magnoliopsida; Fabales; Fabaceae
Description: Pisum sativum (pea) long non-coding RNA (PSAT_LNC015498)
Source: RNAcentral